UGAAACGAUAGCUAAUACUGAAACAAU
RNAcentral lists this small RNA (27 nucleotides) under Bombyx mori (domestic silkworm). Its description in RNAcentral is "ovarian small RNA-30431". The record is from RNAcentral. Lineage: Eukaryota; Metazoa; Arthropoda; Insecta; Lepidoptera; Bombycidae.